This 429-nucleotide ribosomal RNA is filed under the name uncultured bacterium. RNAcentral describes it as "bacterial SSU rRNA". It matches the Rfam family "Bacterial small subunit ribosomal RNA", at positions 354 to 776 of the family's 1533-position model. The record is from RNAcentral.
GUGGGGAAUUUUGGACAAUGGGGGAAACCCUGAUCCAGCCAUGCCGCGUGUCUGAAGAAGGCCUUCGGGUUGUAAAGGACUUUUGUCCGGGAGCAAAUACCAGUGCUAAUAACGCUGGGGGCUGAGAGUACCGGAAGAAUAAGCACCGGCUAACUACGUGCCAGCAGCCGCGGUAAUACGUAGGGUGCAAGCGUUAAUCGGAAUUACUGGGCGUAAAGCGUGCGCAGGCGGUUAGACAAGCCAGAUGUGAAAGCCCCGAGCUCAACUUGGGAACUGCGUUUGGAACUGUUUGACUAGAGUGCGUCAGAGGGGGGUGGAAUUCCGCGUGUAGCAGUGAAAUGCGUAGAGAUGCGGAGGAACACCGAUGGCGAAGGCAGCCCCCUGGGAUGACACUGACGCUCAUGCACGAAAGCGUGGGGAGCAAACAGG